This 353-nucleotide RNase P RNA is filed under the name Candidatus Omnitrophota bacterium. Its description in RNAcentral is "RNase P RNA component class A". It matches the Rfam family "Bacterial RNase P class A". From Rfam's summary of the family: Ribonuclease P (RNase P) is a ubiquitous endoribonuclease, found in archaea, bacteria and eukarya as well as chloroplasts and mitochondria. Its best characterised activity is the generation of mature 5'-ends of tRNAs by cleaving the 5'-leader elements of precursor-tRNAs. Cellular RNase Ps are ribonucleoproteins. Lineage: Bacteria; Pseudomonadati; Candidatus Omnitrophota. The record is from RNAcentral.
GCAGGCGGAAUGUGGCUGCCAGCCAUUGAUUUAAUGGCUGGAGGAAAGUCCGGGCUCCAGAGGAUAAUGUAGCGGGUAAUUCCCGUCUCCUGAGUAAAAUCAGGACGGAUUAGAGCCACAGAGACGAGCGUCCCCGUGUAAGCGGGGCGGUGAAACGAGGCAAUCUCUACAUGGAGCAAGGCAGAAUAGGAGACGAGUGCUGUAUCCGGCGCGAUAUUAGUCUUAGGGUAUGCUGCUAAAGCUUGCGUGGUAACACGCUUGUUGAGAGGAAUAGCCACUAAUCGAUGCGCAGAUUCGCCUGCCUACCGGCAGGCAGGCAUCAAGACAGAACCCGGCUUAUUCUGCCUGCUUUA